RNAcentral lists this unclassified non-coding RNA (175 nucleotides) under uncultured Pseudeurotium. Its description in RNAcentral is "sequence contains ITS1". Lineage: Eukaryota; Fungi; Ascomycota; Leotiomycetes; Thelebolales; Pseudeurotiaceae. The record is from RNAcentral.
AAGAGUCAUACGUGCGGCCGAGUUUACUUGGUCGCCGUAACACUCCACCCUUUGUUUACAUAUCUUUGUUGCUUUGGCAGGCCCGCUCUCGGGCCACCGGCUUCGGCUGGUCAGCGCCCGCCAGAGGACCCCAAACUCUGAAUGUUAGUGUCGUCUGAGUACUAUACAAUAGUUA